RNAcentral lists this small RNA (128 nucleotides) under Arabidopsis thaliana (thale cress). RNAcentral describes it as "ATSL095600". Lineage: Eukaryota; Viridiplantae; Streptophyta; Magnoliopsida; Brassicales; Brassicaceae. The record is from RNAcentral.
AGAUAAAAUAAUUUAUUAAAUGGCGACACAAAAUGCGAUUUUGGGACGGUUACUUUAUCAUCUUCUUCUCGUCGGUUGGACGACGGUUUCCAUCACUUUCGCCGGCGUAGUGGGUGGUUUCUUUUCCA